RNAcentral lists this ribosomal RNA (254 nucleotides) under uncultured bacterium. RNAcentral describes it as "partial 16S ribosomal RNA". It matches the Rfam family "Bacterial small subunit ribosomal RNA", at positions 524 to 776 of the family's 1533-position model. The record is from RNAcentral.
UACGUAGGCAGCAAACGUUGUUCGGAGUUACUGGGCGUAAAGAGUACGUAGGCGGUUUGCCAAGUUUGGUGUGAAAUCUCCUGGCUUAACUGGGAGGGUGCGCCGAAUACUGGCGGGCUUGAGUAUUGGAGAGGAAAGCGGAAUUCCUGGUGUAGCGGUGAAAUGCGUAGAUAUCAGGAGGAACACCAGUGGCGAAGGCGACUACCUGGCCUGUUUCUUGACGCUGAGGCGCGAAAGCUAGGGGAGCAAACGGG